Molecule: ribosomal RNA, 248 nt
Filed under: uncultured bacterium
Lineage: Bacteria
Description: partial 16S ribosomal RNA
Rfam family: Bacterial small subunit ribosomal RNA
Source: RNAcentral
CAAGUCGAGCGGGCCCUUCGGGGUCAGCGGCGGACGGGUGAGUAACGCGUGGGAACGUGCCUUCUGGUCUGGAAUAACCCUGGGAAACUAGGGCUAAUACCGGAUACGCCCUUUUGGGGAAAGGUUUACUGCCGGAAGAUCGGCCCGCGUCUGAUUAGCUAGUUGGUGGGGUAACGGCCUACCAAGGCGACGAUCAGUAGCUGGUCUGAGAGGAUGAUCAGCCACACUGGGACUGAGACACGGCCCAA